Molecule: ribosomal RNA, 166 nt
Filed under: Staphylococcus hominis
Lineage: Bacteria; Bacillati; Bacillota; Bacilli; Caryophanales; Staphylococcaceae
Description: partial 23S ribosomal RNA
Rfam family: Bacterial large subunit ribosomal RNA
Source: RNAcentral
GGACGGGAUAAGUGCUGAAAGCAUCUAAGCAUGAAGCCCCCCUCAAGAUGAGAUUUCCCAACUUCGGUUAUAAGAUCCCUCAGAGAUGAUGAGGUUAAUAGGUUCGAGGUGGAAGCGUGGUAACACGUGGAGCUGACGAAUACUAAUCGAUCGAAGACUUAAUCAA